RNAcentral lists this ribosomal RNA (303 nucleotides) under uncultured bacterium. RNAcentral describes it as "partial 16S ribosomal RNA". It matches the Rfam family "Bacterial small subunit ribosomal RNA", at positions 507 to 807 of the family's 1533-position model. The record is from RNAcentral.
AGCAGUCGCCACGGUAAUACGUAGGGUGCAAGCGUUAAUCGGAAUUACUGGGCGUAAAGCGUGCGCAGGCGGUGUUGUAAAACUGAUGUGAAAUCCCCGGGCUCAACCUGGGAACUGCAUUGGUGACUGCAACGCUGGAGUGCGGCAGAGGGGGAUGGAAUUCCGCGUGUAGCAGUGAAAUGCGUAGAUAUGCGGAGGAACACCGAUGGCGAAGGCAAUCCCCUGGGCCUGCACUGACGCUUAUGCACGAAAGCGUGGGGAGCAAACAGGAUUAGAUACCCCGGUAGUCCCUGUCUCUUAUAC